Molecule: ribosomal RNA, 524 nt
Filed under: uncultured Chromelosporium
Lineage: Eukaryota; Fungi; Ascomycota; Pezizomycetes; Pezizales; Pezizaceae
Description: eukaryotic LSU rRNA
Rfam family: 5.8S ribosomal RNA (bases 212-365)
Source: RNAcentral
AACUAUGUUAGUUUUUUAUAUCCCAUUGUUUUAUCUACCCUGUUGCUUCUACUGGACUGUUUUACUAGGAGGUAAGAUAUAUAAUAAACCUCCAGGUAAAACCUCAGGCUUGUGUGAACCACACUUUCCAGAGAGCUGCCAGUAGCAAGACCACUUGCUAAAACCUGUUGUGAAAUAUAUAGUCUGAAUUUUGUGUCUUGAAAUGAAAUAAAACUUUCAACAACGGAUCUCUAGGCUCUUGCAUCGAUGAAGAACGCAGUGAAAUGCGAUAAGUAAUGUGAAUUGCAGAAUCUCGUGAAUCAUUGAAUCUUUGAACGCACAUUGCGCCCUAUGGUAUUCCAUAGGGCAUACCUGUUUGAGCGUUAGCUCCCCCAUACUCUCAAGCAUUAUUUUGUAAUGUUUGGAUUUGUUUGGAGAGGCACCUCUGUCAUUGAGGUACCCUUCAGAAAUGUAUAUGGCAGUAUAGUUUAUAUCUGAACCAGGCGUAAUAAUAAUAAAGUCGCUGAGUUCACCAUAUUUAUACU